UUACACCUUAUUUCGCAGAGUUAACCUUAUUUUAAAGGGGUAAAUACAAAGAAAGGAAGGAAAGCAGCAUAUUGGUUAAAAAAGUACAGAUUCUAGAACCAGACUGGGCUAGAAUUCCACCUCCCCCACUAAAUAGCUAUAUGGCUUUGAGCAAUAUUCUUUUUAGUGCCUCAGUUCCCCAUCCAUCAGGGGAGAAUUGUAGUUAUGCCCUUAUAAGGUUGUUGUAUUGGAUUAAAUGAGUUAACACUGAAUAAUUAAAGAAUUGAGAACAGUGCCUGGCACAAAGUAACAUGACUUUGUGCUUCUUAAAUUAAAGAGAGGGAAAGGAAGAGAGAGGGUAUCCUAAAUCAAAUGGAGAAUUUGCUUCAGUGUUCUAAGAGCAAAAGGUCCUGUUAGUCUAUUCUUGUCCAGUCUUUUCCAUGCUCUAAAAAAUGUAUGGGUGCCAUCAAUACCACCUUAAUUUUGUCUCAGUACCCACUGGAAGUGGAUCCAGAUAAACUACUCUUGCCAAUUUGAUGCCGAAAGAAUGCCUUUCUCAUGGUUCCUUAGCUGGUGAGCAGAAGAGAAACAGGAAGUGUAGCAUGUUUUCCUCAAUCCAGUACUCAGUUUGCUAUUUAUUUUGGAAUAUGUAAACUCGUCGUGGAUACACACUCUUUAAUGCUACUUCCUCUCUCCUGAGCUUUCUCCCAACCAGGUGAUUUCCCCCUCCUCACCUUACUUAGAAAACCUGGUUCUUUUACUUAUGCUCAACCAAGAGUUAAGUUCUAUGUAACAUUACAGCCAAAGUUGAGUGCCUGAGAUACUUAUUUAACAGUAAGUUGGAAAAAUGAAUCUUCCUAUCAAAAUCUUAUUGUCAUUUAAUGAACGUCGAUUUUUUUUGUCUGUAUCCCUACUUGUCUCACUUACUUCACGAAUCCUUGCAGAAAGCUUCCUAAAACGUUCAGUACAGCUCCAUUUCCCAUUUAUAUGCAAAAUUAUGGGGACCCGGGAGGAGCCAUUUCAAGAAAGCAACUCUUCUUUAGUCUGGAAUAUUUCCCUCCCCUUUCACAGUAGAAAAACGGGUGUUUCCUGUUUCUCUGAGAAGAAACAAGUCCCUGCCUCUCCCUGGUAUCAUUUUCUUUCUUUUCUCCUUUAUUAUUAUAUGCGCAAAUUAGCAGUGUUUAGUUUCUUGUUUGUUGUCAGCAAUGCUUUGCCCUCCUGAUUGAAGCUUUAUACCUUAAGUGGAAAUUUGACGCCAAAAAUCGAAAGGGAGUCAAGUGGUAAUUCAGAGCAGUGAAGAUGGCUGCUGUGGCUUGUCUGCUGUACGUGUGGGGCGUUGCACCAGGACCCUUUAUUUCAGACAGUAUUUGACAUCAACUGUGCGGACUGAGUGUGGACGGGUGGUGUGGUACUGCAGGCCGCGACAAAAGCCACAGAGCCUAUGUUCCAGAGACAGACAACAAACAAAAUUCAAAACUGCUGGAAGGAGCAUGUUCUGGCACAAAAGUUCUGAAGUGGCAAGAACUUGAUAUGCAUGAAGCUUUUGUUGCUGGAAAAGACCACUAUGGAUACUGAAAUGAUUUGAAAGACGGAGGCACCUGCCAAGACAGUGUGACUCAGAAACAUAAAAAGAAACCUGAUGACCAAGGAGCCUUCAUAACAGCUUUGAAUGAAGACCUUCAGCCCUCUUUCAUAUAAGAGAGAGAAAAAAAUUAUAUUUUUAAGUCAUUUUAUUGAUAGUUUCUUUUAUUUGCAGCUGAAUUCAAUCUCCACUGAUACCAACUGGCUUGAGGAGAGGGGUGAAAAAUCAAGAACUAUUUCUGAAACACUAAGUUGAGGUAUCUAUUAGACAUCCAAAUGGACAUGUCAAAUAAACAACUGAAUAUAGAAAUCUUGUCAUAAAAUGAGAGACCAGCACUGGAGAUAUACAUUUGGGAGCUACUGUUCCCCGACCAGGGAUGGAACCCAUGCUCCUGCAGUGGAGAUGCAGAGUCCUAACCACUGGACCACCAGAGAAUUCCCAGGAAAUCUUAUUCACAUUAUCUUUUUCCCUGACGAUUACAAAUAAAUGAGGUAAAGAGUGGAUACUCUUCAUUAUGACAAGGUUGAGAAAGAAGGAAAUCAUCUGAACCUUCAAUUAUACUUUGAAGCAGACUCAGACUGCAACAACACUCUAUAAACAUUCAAACAUCUAAAGAGGCUAUUAAUAAAUAAUCGCCUGAGAUUUAACAGCAAUAACAACAACAAAAUCCCAAAUGCUCCAUAGCUACAGACCACUCUUCCAGCUCCAGGUAGCCACCUCCAUGAGUAUGCUCCUAUUCAGAGGAACCAGGAGUGUAAAGGAUUUAGCUCAGUGCAACCAUUAAACUCACUGAAAAACAGCUCAAAGCACAUGUCCUAUCAAUGGGUAUCUAUAUUGCCAUUUAUCAUUGCCAGUAUUAUAAUGGAACACACAUCUUGAGAGGCAGCUAAGCCUCAUAGUUCAGAACACAAGUUCUAGAGCCAGACUGAGUAUGAAUUCUGCCUCCACCACUUAUAAGCUAUGACUUUGGGCAAGUUGUUCAACCACUCUGGCCUGCAAAACCAUUAACUGUGAAAAGGAAAUAAUAAUGUGUCUACCUCAGAGAUCUAUAGGGAUUGUGAUGGUUUAUGUGUCAACUUGACUUGCCACAGGGUGCCAAGAUUAAACAUCAUUUCUGGGUAUGCUGUGAGGAUAUCUAGGGAUGAGAUUAGCAUUUGUAUCGGUAGACUCAGUAAAGUAGAUGGUCCUCCCCAAUGUGGGUGGGCAUCACCCAACCCACUGAGGGCCUGAAUAGAACAAAAGGAGGAGGAAGGGGGAAUUCAUCUUCUACUGCCUCGCUACUCUAGCUGGGACAUCAUGUUUCUUCUUCUGCCCUUGAACUGGGAUUUAUACCAUCAGCUCCCCUAUUUCUCAGGUCUUCACAUUGGGUCUGGGUCUCUAGCUUGCAGACAGCAAAUCAUGGGGACUUCUUAGUGUCCAUAAUUGCAUGAUCAAAUUCCUCAUAAUAUGAAACAAAACCAAUAGGAGAUAUAUACCUGGAGAACCCUAAUACAGGGGUUAAUGAGUUAAUACAUGUUAUCUAGCACUUAGAAAGUCCUCAGUAAGUGUUAAUUACCCUCAUUGUUAUUUUCAUUACUAUUACUGUGUAACCCAAAGAGUAGGAACAGCUCAAAGACUUACGAACUUUGUUCUAAGAAAGAAGGACAGUCAGUCAUAAUUAAAUGGAUUCAAGAAAUCAAAACACAUCCUGGAAACCAGGGCUGCUGUGGGGGCUGAGUGUGGAAGAAAGAAUCAGUAUCCAGAAAGGUCUUCCCCAUGACUUCCUGGUCUUUAAAGGAGAUAUUCUACUAGCAGUAAGCCCAUCCCAACUCUUUCUUGUGCACAGUGGGAAAAGAUAUGGGAAACCUCAGUGAGACGUCUCUAACCACUAUCCACAUAAAAGGAGAGAAAAACACUGUGAGGCUGAGAAGUAACACCUUGAGGCCAGGUGGUGUGAGAGAUGUAUGAUGAUGAGUGAGCAAUGGGACAGAGGACCCAGGUGAGGCCACUGGAGGACAACCUGGCCACAUAUUCAGAGUCUUGCUUCCUGCUAACAACUUUAAGGAGUUUUAACAAUAUUCUGUCAAACUUACGCCAUCUCCUCUGUGAGCAGCUCCCUGCUCCCAACUCCCCACCCCCACCCCUAGGUGAUGGCAGAUGCCUCAAGCUUUUCAUGGGUAGCUAAGGGAUGUAAGGCCAACCUCACUAUCUGCUUGAGUUUCUGACUCUACUAUGCAACUUCUGCCAAAGAUUUCAGGGUAAGACUUAUGGUAGGGAAAAAUACCGCCUCAGGAGGGAAACUGCAAGGUGUGCAGACUUAAUGAAGUUUGACUUUCACUAAAGGUAGGGAAAAUGGGGAAUUUGGGUGAUUGAUUUGUUUUCAAGCACUUAGGACACAAUACUCUCCUUGGUUAUAUAUUACCGAAAGGACUCAUAACCAAUGGAAGGUGAAGGGCAGAAGUCCUGGUUCUCACCCAGCAUCUGAUAAAGGUCUCCCUUUUGGGCUCAUAAUGACAGAACAUCUCGUGAAUAUUUAAAAGGAAACACCUUUUUGGAUACAGAUUCAAAUAAAUGACCUUAUUGUACAACAAUGAACUCUUCUUUGCCAGGACCCCCUCCUCCUCCUCCCUGCUUCCCAUAUACUUCCAGGUUCUUUUGUAGGCACUGAUCCAUGUCACAGUUUUGAAUAUAUAUAUGUGUAUAUAUAUAUAUACACACAUAUACAUACACACACACAUAUAUCCAGCUUUUUCCUGAGUGGGGUUGAGAGGGUAGGCAUGGGGUAAAAAUAAUACACCUUUAUCUUUCUUUACAAAUUGUAAAUUAACUCAAUUUUCUAAGCUUCCCCCCCACCCCACCCCUUUUCUGUCUGUAUCAACACAGAACUUGUUUAGCCAGAGGAGUUUGUUGUGGUGAGACUGUCAAAUAUAUGAAUAGACUGUUGUCAAACAGCCUUGAAAAAACAAGUAUUUGUUCACCAUAUGAAAGCACAUUCAUACAAACCUCUAUCAAAUCACUGAGCAAAUACUCUUAAAAUCUGUAGUGGGAUAGAUGUUCUACAUCAAGUUUACAACAAAACAACAACAAAAAACUCAAAAUGUAUUAUACACGAGGCACCAUGCUUAGCAUUGAUGUGGACACAAAGGUAUGCAAAACCUGUACUGUCUAGGUAUACAGUAAAGCUAUGAACUUGGGCCAUUUGCUUAAUGUCUCCUGGUGGGCUUCAGUUUUACUUUCUUACAACAGGACCGAACUGACACACCUCUGUGGUUGUAUCUACCCUUAAAAUCAACCUAACUAGAAUGGUCAAACAUAUACACAGGAAAUUUAGCCAAUAAUGUAAAAAUACAAAGAAUGUUAAGUGUGUGACAAGUGUUAUUGCUCCUAUACGAGUUCAGAGGAAAGAGUUCACUGCAGGCUGAGUGUUGCAGGGAAGGCUUCCAGGAGGAGGGAGGACCUCACCUGGACACUGAAGACAGAGUAGGCAGAGUAGGCAUGAAGACAGGAUAGGGAGUUCUAUCAGUAACUUGGCAGCGCAUUUGUGGGUGGUAAAGACUGGAUGCGAUAACAUGAAAAGGAAGUUUUAUUGAGAGCACAAGGUAGGUUUGGGGAAAUGUAUUGCAGUUUGACUAUGAUUCAUCCAUUCUCCACUUUUCUUUUGUAUGAAAAAUCUCAAACUAAAACAUGCAGUGCUCUGUGGGAUAAAAUCAUUCUGGCAAUGCUAUUAAUUUAUUUUUGUAAUUUUCUAAUUGUAUUAUGUAUUUAAUAGAAUAUAAAACUGAAAAAUCAGCUUUCAUAACAUUUUCCAAUUUGGAUUUUUUCAUACAGUAAAAAAAAUGCUAGCUUUAUAUAUUAAUAAACCAUCUUAAAGUACUGGACAAUACUAAACAUCAAAUGAAAAAUAACUAAAAAUAAUUUUGUAAAAUAUUAUUAGUCUGCCAAUCAACAAAUGUUCAUUUGGCACCUACUACAUGCUAGGCUCCAUGGCAGGAGCUGGGGCAGAUACGAAUAAAUGCGUUCUGGCUGGAAUAAGAAACACUGAUUUGAAAUGCUGAAGAGGGUGUGGAGAAAAGGGAACCUUCCUGCACUGCUGGUGGGAAUGUAGCUGGUGCAGCUACUGUGGAAAACAGUAUGGACAUUCCCGAGGAAACUAAAAAUAGAAUUACCAUAUGAUCCAGCAAUCACACUCCUGGGCAUAUAUACAGACAAAACUACAGUUCAAAAAGAUACAUGCACCCCUAUGUUCACAGCAGUACUAUUCACAAUAGCCAAGACAGGGAAAUGACCUAAAUGUCCAUCGACAGAUGAAUGGAUAAAGAAGAUGUGGUAUAUACACAUAUACAAUGAAAUACUACUCAGCCAUAAAAAAGAAUGAAAUAAUGCCAUUUGCAGCAACAUGGAUGGAUCUAGAGACUAUCAUACUAUGUGAAGUAAGUCAGAAAGAGAAAGACAAAUACCAUAUGAUAUCACUUAUAUGUGGAAUCUAAAAUAUGACACAAAUGAACCUAUCUAUGAAACAGAAACAAAAUCAGGGACAUAGAGAAGAGACUAGUGGUUGCCAAGGGGGAGGGGGUGGGAGAGGGAUGGAUUGGAAAUUUGGGAUUAGCAGAUGCAAACUAGUAUAUAUAAAAUGCAUUAAACAACAAGGUCCUACUUUAUACCACAGGGAACUAUAUUCAACAUCCUGUGAUAAACCAUAAUGGAAAAGAAUAUGAAGAAAAAUGUAUGUAUGUACAACUAAGUCACUCUGCUGCACAGCAGUAAUUAACACAACAUUGUAAAUCAACUAUACUUCAACAAAAUAAAAUAAGGUGUACAUAACAAAACCUGGUGCUCUGAAUCUGAUGUCUUGCAUUUCCUCUAGGGGAGGUCUCUAAAAGAGUGAAAUGACCUUAUACGUAAUAGAACUUGGAUAUUUAUGUUCCAACACAUAAUUUUCACUUGUGGGACAAAAUGGCUCUGUAAGAAUAUGUUUAUUUUUUGAAUCUAUUUCCUCUUUUAUUAUGCAAACUUUGAAGUGAUAUUUCAUAAAGUUUCUGCCUUCUCAAAUUUCAAGGCAUAUCUCCUCAUUCACAUGUGCCAAAAUUUGAUGAAAGUUAAUUAUUUCUGUGUAUC
Long non-coding RNA from Balaenoptera acutorostrata (minke whale), 6655 nucleotides. RefSeq lists it as uncharacterized. The transcript has 7 exons. Lineage: Eukaryota; Metazoa; Chordata; Mammalia; Artiodactyla; Balaenopteridae. The record is from RefSeq and is a predicted model, not a curated record.